Molecule: non-coding RNA, 7370 nt
Organism: Phalacrocorax carbo (great cormorant)
Lineage: Eukaryota; Metazoa; Chordata; Aves; Suliformes; Phalacrocoracidae
Source: RefSeq, a predicted model, not a curated record
GGGGAGCCGCGCCGCGGCCCGGUGCUCGGCGUUUGGUAGCCGUCGGUAGGCGGCCCGCCCGGUGUGGGGCCGCUGCGCACGCCGAGCUUCCACCUCAGGGCAACGGGCGAUUUCUGCCUCCGCCCGGGCCGGCCGGCGCGGGGUGCGCAAGCGGCCGGUAAAGAUGGCUUCCUUCUCGGCGGGUCGCCUGCCUGCCUGCCGGCUGCUGGCGCGGCCGGGCGCGGGGGGUCCGGCCCAGGGGUUCCGGGGGACGCUGCGGGGGUGCCCCAGCCCGCGGGUCUGUGUGAAUUGGGGGUACCGGGGUGUACUGGCCGUCGGUGGAAGGGCAGGACGGCAGCCCCCGGUGGGGGGCCCGUUCGUCGAGGUACCGGGCUGCGCUCCUGAAUUUCAGGUUGACUUUCGAGGAUGCCGACUUCUUCCUACAGAGAGCAGGUGCAACAAACAGCACCAAACUUUAUUUGGAGCUUGUCACCACUAUUCCUUUACCAGCCAGAUGGGACGCUGUUGAGUGACACAGUGGACUCCACAACCGUGACUGGGAGCAAACAACUUAUCUUCAUAUUAACUUCUUUUAUGGUAUACAUUUAAGAUAUCCAAAGUGUGAACCAGCGCCCCAAGGCACAGUGGUCCUUGGAAGUGGAUCUUCAAGUAGACCAUCAGCAGAGUACUAAGUCCAGGAGCAAUAAUGGAGUUGAGCCUAGAAUUUAAUACACACAAAAAUACAGAAAGCGAGGCCAGCAAAACCCAAGAUUAAACAAGUGACUACUGCAUGGCAACAGCAAUUGAGCUUGAUUUUUUUUUUUAAAUCAGACAAAUUUCUGUACCAAAGCCCCUUUCCUCACCGCAGGCUGCAUAAAGGAAGGAGCAAAAGCAGCUGCAACCACCUCAGCUUCGGAGAUGAGGCUCCCAGUAGUCAGUCCUGCAAGAAAACAUCUGGCCAGCCUUAACGAACAUUAUUUUCUAGAAUGUUCCCCAAGUUCUGCUGGCAGGGAAAUACGCCUGCCUUAUAAGCAAGAAUAUAAAGAGGCAGUUCUCAAAGAGCACAUGGUUUGUCUUGCAAAAGCUUUCCUUAAGGGCAGACUUAAUUAUACAUCAUACAGAUCUAUUAUAUAUUCUGUUUAUACAAUUAUAAAGCAUUAUGGUUAAUUAGUUGUGGUACAGACUCCUGAAGCAGAAUCUGGUUAGAGAAUAAACAAAACGCUCAGUCAGCUGCAACGGUGGUUAACAACUUGCACUUUCAUAUCACCUUUCACACUGAACUCUCUUGAAGUGAUUUGUACGUUAUGCAAUCCAGUGGGCCUGACUUUCAUAUUUCAGGGUUUUUUUGGUUUUAUAUAAAAUUAGAAUAUGCCAAUCUGAAAUGCCCUGGGAUUCUCACACCUUUAGGAAAUUAAAUUCAAGAUAUUCCCUAACCAACUUCAACUGUUUUUCCUGUUUACUGUUGUAGCACCUGAGUGAUCUAGUGGUUAAUCGUGAUCCUAUUACGUCUGGCGCUGUAUAUGCAUGGAACAUACAUACUUCUUCAUCCCCUCUUCCCCUCCUGAUCUAUAUAGCUCUGGCAGCAGUGGGAAUCUCUAUCUGCCUCACUAUUUGAAAAACAGGUGAAAUCCUGAGUGUGAAAAGGUUUUGAUUAGACUGAAGUGUGCAAUACUGCAUAGGUUUGAUUUUCAAACUAUAUUUGUACAUUCUUUUAAUGCAAUGAAAUGGGCUGACAUGCUACAAUAGUAAUGCCUCAAUCCGUCUGACAUCUUUGAACUUAAUUACUCUUUUGCCAUCACAUUAUUUAGCAUAAUAAUGAGUCUUAUUGUUGUGUAUAUGCUACUACAGGUGUCUGGGGAGAAUAAGUGUUUUGGAACUCUCAUCAGUGCCGUGUGAGUAGAGCCAAAAAUUCUUUUGUUGUCUCAUGGGUUAUUGUACUGGUUACCGUGCACACCCAAAAAGGCAGGUCUUAAAGCAAGAGAGCUUGUAAUAUUUAUAAGAGAAACUGAAGUAAAAAACAAGAAGCGAACAAGAGUGAAGUUAAGAGUAUGUAUUUAGCAUAGACUAGAUAUCUAUAGUGCAGAAUGUAGCACACAAUGUAUUUACACAUCUACAAAUAAAUUAAGAAGAGCACUCCCCACAGAAAAUGCUGCAGACCAAUACCAAUUCUCAGUUUCCUGAGAUUUGAGAUAACUUUGAAGGAAGGCUGCAUAGGUUUUUUUACAGGCUGUUUUGGGGAUAGUUUUCUAGAAGAAAGCCUGAAAGACAUGUAUGAAAGAACUUCUGAGAGAAAGAGAUGUACGGGCAACUGAAGAUGGCAUCAUCCACUUGGAACAAUGAACUCCAUAGUAAGAUACAAGAUAAGAUUGUAGAUGAGUGCCCAAUGGAUGCCCCUAACUUGUAUUCAAAAUGUCAGUAAAGCAGAAUGCCAGGGAAAGGAUAAAAACACAGGCUGAUAAAAUCAUAGAAAGAAUUCAGGAAGGUCAUCUUGACUUCAAUGUUUUAGGCUCAAGGGGAAACCAGGUAUGUGUAACAAAAAGUGAAGAACUUGCAUGGUAGGAAUGAAAGUUGCAUUGAUGGAAUCACAAGAAAUCAUCUAAGAAAACAAAGUAGAAUAAGAAGAGGUAAAAAUAAAGCCUGGUGAGAUAUCUGUUGAAAGAGAAAGCUAGGAUGGAGAUCCCCCAUGUCUGACAGAAAGGUUAAGCAAUUGGCAAUGAUUUGGAAAAGAAAACAAGAAAAGAUGAAGACUCAGGAGAGAACAAGAUUUCAGAGUCACAGUAUGAUCAGUAACAUCACAGGCUGUGGAGGUGGAAGGAGUCCUGAGAUUCAGUCACAUCAUUAAUAGCAACCUCAGAAGAGCUGAGUGGAGCGUACACAGCCGAAAUUAAAGACAACUUGGGAGAAGGUGAAGCUGGCAGAAAGCCAUCCGAGGUAAUUGUUUGAGGCAGUGCAUUGUUUUAUUUUAGAAGUAAUAGACAGGAGGAAGGCUCAGCAGAAAUGCAAAAGCAAAAUGAGGUCAAAUGUAGGAUUGUAAAAAAUAUGGAUGAGACAGACAUCCUUCUACGUGUGUUGGGAUGGCCAUGAAGAGUUAAGAAAAACAAAGAACAAGGGAAAAAACCCCAAACAAAUAGAAAAUUACAGGAUUACUGGUAAAGGAGGAGGGGUAAAAUGAAAAUCUGAUAAGAAUUGCCAGGAUAAAGGAUUGGGAGAGAGAGGAAAAAUGGGAGAGUGGAUGAAGGAGAAAGAAUGUUGAUUUGUUGAUUAGAUCUUCUCUUGAAAAAGAAAGAACUGAUAAAGUGGAUAAGAAGACAGCAGAGGUGUGUGAAGAUUUCAGGAGAGUAUAAUUUAAAUUAAAUGUAUUUUACAAAGCAAAUAUAUUUUUAGAUUGUAAAAAUGGAGAAGUCAUUACUUAAUUUGAAUCAAUGUGACAAAUAUGUAAAAAACUUUUUCCAAUCUUAUGUCUGAAGUAUAAAUAGUACUAAGAUCCUCAGGUGGUGACAAAGUUUAAAUAUCAUUAAUUUGUGUUGGAACUGAUUAGUUUUCAAGCAACUACCAGAAAGCCAAUUUUUGUCUUUUGCCGCUCAGGAAAUACGUGUCUGUGUAGAUGAAAACAAAAUGAAAUUUUCAAAAGUGUUACUCCCUAGUAUAUAGUAACAUUUCAGUUAACACAAAGAGAUUUUAAAAAAGGUUAGAAGUCCUAUUCCUGUGUUUUAUGCAAGUGGAAGUCCACUUUUGCUGUUAGUGUUUUGCCAGCUCCCAGGCAUUUCCCUGCUUCCUCCGGAGCCCUGUGAUAAAUAGCCCAUAAACGCCAUUUUGCGUAUCUGCUUAUUAUUCUUACAUACCUAUAAAUUCAGCUUCUUGCUGCUUAAUUUUAGCAGUGACAAUGAUCAGACACAUGGGGGUAGAAAAGAUUUAGAAGCUCGGCUUAUCCAUCCAAUAGUCCAAAAAGCUGGAAUAUUCCAUCCAGUGGAGGUUUAGGUUCCCAAGUAAAACAGCUUUUCUUCUUUCAAGUGGCAAACUUUCCAAAGCAGAGUUCUCAUUUACAAAUUCCCACUGAGUAGUUUAUUAAAUUUAAACUUCAGUAUUUUAUUGCUAUUUUCCAUAUAUAUGUUAGCUAUGCUGAGUAACACUAAAAAUAUCCUACUUUAUUAUACGCAAGUGAAGAAUUUUAAUUGGUCUUAGUUCCUUAGAAGCACUCAAGAACUGGAAUAGCUGUACAAGAGUCUUAUGUACAAGCCACUAUGUAAAGAAUAACUAUAAAGCUUAUGAGAACAGAGGUUCCAUCGGUUUAGCUUUUGCAAUAGCAGUUUAAGUAAUGUAUUUAGAAACUGUAAUACAUCCACUAGCGGGAUCACUUUGAUCCUUUGAUCCAGGCAUUGGGAUGUAUCAAAUGGGGAUCGCUGUGACAUCUGAGCGCCGUCUGAAUACACGCCUCUCACAUUUAAAAGUUUAUAAUAGGCAGGUAGGCCUUUUGUAUUUGUGUACCAGCUUUGUUAAGUGGGCCAGUAGUGCAACACCCUCUUUUUGAGGAUGCCUCAGAGUUUCUUUGGGAAAUGCCUGCUUUUCCCAGAGCUAGCACAGCCCUCAGUAGCCCAGAUGUGUCCCUCAGCCAGCGUGGGCUUUUGGAGCCACUGUCCGUGAUAACAGCUCCACAGUCACGGGGAUAAAAAAUAACUUUGCUUCCCUCCCACCGCCUUUCUACUCCAGUACAGAGGGAAGGAAAGGCUAUCUAGUUCUGAAGCUAGAGAGAGUUCAGGUAAUAAUAGCAUUUUAGGAAUAACUUAUGAAGAUACAUGUAUUUCAGGCAGUUCCCACCUGCCCGUAAAUCAUAGCUUGUCGUGCAUCACUCCCCACAGCAGCCUUACACGCUCGGUAGAAAAGUACUGGGCUGAGCCUACAUAUAAACUAAAACUUGACAUGUUCAAAAAGUAGCAUAAAUUAAAAUUACAGAACAAGCUGUUAUAAGACAUUUAGGUUUGUCGUGAAACUACCAUUUUCUUUCAAGAUGUGCAGCAUACUCACGAGCACACAGCAGCAGCUCCAGAAAACAUCGUCCUCCAACAUUCCAGCUUUUGUGGGUGUGCUUUAAUUAAAAGGAUUCUGCAGAACAAGGAAAACAGAAUCUUUAGAAGAAAAAAAUUGAUUAUAAAAGCACACUGUUAUGAAUUCAUAUAGAUUCAGAGAGAAAAGGGAGUGCUUAUAGUAAUUAAAUUAUGGGAUUUUAAGAAGACCAAGGAAGUUAUUCUGUUAUAUAUCAGAAGUUUGGAAAGAGAAAUCUUGAUUUUGAUCUACUGUUAUCAAAAUAACAACGGUACAUUGAUAGAAUAACAACAUAAUAAGGAUGUCCUGAAACAGGCCAUAGCUUAUUUAAGGAAGAAACUUCUACAAGAAAUUAAUUGGAAGAUAAGGGUCAGAUUUAUAUCCCCAUUUUAUUUUCCUCAUGAGAUACUGAGCGUAUGAUAUACACAGAGAAAUGUGUAGCUAUUUGCACCAAUAAAACAUGUAAAUGGAUUUCCUAUGAGAUGCUUUUUCAUGCUUUACAAAAUCAAUCCGAAAUGGUUCUAAUUAUAUAUGAUUUCUUAGAACAUGUCUUUGGUAGUGGUUAUGGCACAUUUACUCUGGAAAGGCAAAGAACUCCUAAGGUAAUUCUGCCCUUUUGAAGUGUUCAUUUGUGAGUAUCCUUAUUGCUGGUAUUACGUAGUACGCAGUUGUCCUGUUGUAAUUUUUAGCAGAACGGAUAUUUCCAGUCUCUCAGUCUACAUUAAAAUCAUCUUUCAUUUCUUGUGUGAGACUAAUACUGCUCUCCACUCAGUGGACUUGCAUGGAUUAUCAAUGGAAACACAGUGUCUGCUGUGCUUCAGGUGGCAUUAGAUCGGAUUAACUGAAGAAGGAAUUGAGUCUUCAAAGUUAAUUAAAACGUUGUUGAUGAUGACCAGGAAGGCGUACUUAGAAGCUAUAGGUAAAGAGAUUUAGAUGCUCAACAUGGGGCGGUCGUGCCCAGGCUUUCAAGCUCCUGAUAUAUGGAAGAAAAAUGCUUCUGGUUUCUUGCGGCGGCAAACCUGCCAGCUAAACGCCGAGUGAAGUAUAGCUGCUUUGGCUUCCCCCAGAGGCUCCCAUCUUCUCCUUCCUCUGGAGGCCCCAUCUUCUCAGUCUGUUGCUGCUACAUCUUUAAUAAGAUCAAUAAUCUUCCUCGGGUUUAGCAGCUUCAUGAAUUCUGAUUAAGCUCCAUGACAGUGGCUGUGUAUUAAGAAUAAUAGGCAAGAAGAAGACUUUAGUGUCUCAAUCCAUGAGGCAUGAUAGUUUCUUCUUUAGGCAAACUGAUAUUGAUUUGAUCUUGGGUUUUAUCAGCAUGGCCUCUGUAAAUAAAGUGCUAGCACACAGUACACUUACUGUACGGCUCCUCUUCCCUGCAGACCAAUUCUUUCUGAUGAAGUCUUACUUUAAUUGUUCCAUGCCUACUAAUGUCUUUAAUCAAGGCUCACGUGGCUAAGUCUUCAGUGAGAAAAUUUGACAUGCUUACAAGAAUUAAUACAGUAAGAAUUCACAAAGGUACAAUUAGGAGCAAAAAAUCAGAAUGGUCUCUAGCACUGCCUUUCAACCAAACACCGGUGUGUGAGUUUCUGCAUGACAUUAAAAUUCAAUUAAGUAUUUGGGGGGAAAAAAGCCUGGCACUGACAGGAUACGUCAUCUGAGCACAGGAAGCUGUGCUGACAAAAAUUCAUAACGUGGAAAUUGGAAACCCAUACUCUGAAGCUUUCCUGUAUUAACAUUUUAAUGUCCAACUAUGUAAUAUAUAAUUUAUGAGAAUUCUCUAAUAUGAUCCAGCCUUGCAUAUUUUGCAAUUUGUUAUUCUUAUUUAGAAAGAAGUGAAGACCAAAAGACUCUCUCUGAUUUCUGAAGCCAUUUUAAAUCAUUUUUAAUAUAUACGUCUCCACUUUGCAAACACGUAUUUUCAGUCCUCACUAAGUGGGUUCAUUUGGGCUUUCUUCUUGGCCACUGUUUUCCUUUUGAAGACAGGGAAACGUUUGGGGGAAUUAGACUUUUGAGUGGGGAAGAUGAUGCAAUUGUGCAGAAAUGUAGACAGAAUUCUAUUGUUGCUCCACUGUUUUUUGUGAAAGUGUCAUCUAAAUGCAGUUCUGGAAGAACUCCUAUUGUCAACUUUUGGGAUUUGAUCUAGCCAAAAACAUCCACAAGUACUCUCUUCAUAUGCUGAAUGUUUUGUUUUCUAUAGUCUUGUAUAUACUCUGUGUUUUAAAAGUGGAUUUCUUUGUUGCUUAUGGUCCUGCUUAUGGUACUACAGGAUACCUGUCUGGGUUUUGCGUAUUUAAAACCUUUAAUUUCUGCUGCUUUUUCUGAAAUGGAUUACAUGGAAGAACAUUCUGUAAAACUUA